Molecule: small nuclear RNA, 57 nt
Filed under: Mastacembelus armatus (zig-zag eel)
Lineage: Eukaryota; Metazoa; Chordata; Actinopteri; Synbranchiformes; Mastacembelidae
Description: U7 small nuclear RNA (ENSMAMG00000025334.1)
Rfam family: U7 small nuclear RNA
About the family: Animal histone pre-mRNAs are spliced by a different mechanism than nuclear pre-mRNAs and self-splicing introns. This processing involves the U7 snRNP, which contains only one RNA species: U7.
Source: Rfam by way of RNAcentral
AGGAAUCUUUGCUCUUUCAGACAUUUUCUAGAAGGAUUUCUAUAAAAGAAAUCCCAC